RNAcentral lists this ribosomal RNA (484 nucleotides) under uncultured bacterium. RNAcentral describes it as "partial 16S ribosomal RNA". It matches the Rfam family "Bacterial small subunit ribosomal RNA", at positions 30 to 507 of the family's 1533-position model. The record is from RNAcentral.
AUUGAACGCUGGCGGCAGGCCUAACACAUGCAAGUCGAGCGGAUGAAGGGAGCUUGCUCCUGGAUUCAUCGGCGGACGGGUGAGUAAUGCCUAGGAAUCUGCCUGGUAGUGGGGGAUAACGUCCGGAAACGGGCGCUAAUACCGCAUACGUCCUGAUGGAGAAAGUGGGUGAUCUUCGGACCUCACGCUAUCAGAUGAGCCUAGGUCGGAUUAGCUAGUUGGUGGGGUAAAGGCCUACCAAGGCGACGAUCCGUAACUGGUCUGAGAGGAUGAUCAGACACCCUGGAACUGAGACACGGUCCAGACUCCUACGGGAGGCAGCAGUGGGGAAUAUUGGACAAUGGGCGAAAGCCUGAUCCAGCCAUGCCGCGUGUGUGAAGAAGGUCUUCGGAUUGUAAAGCACUUUAAGUUGGGAGGAAGGGCAGUAAGUUAAUACCUUGCUGUUUUGACGUUACCAACAGAAUAAGCACCGGCUAACUUCGUG